Molecule: ribosomal RNA, 394 nt
Filed under: uncultured bacterium
Lineage: Bacteria
Description: partial 16S ribosomal RNA
Rfam family: Bacterial small subunit ribosomal RNA
Source: RNAcentral
AUACGUAGGGGACGAGCGUUGUCCGGAAUUACUGGGCGUAAAGGGCGCGCAGGCGGAUAUUUAAGUCAGCUGUAAAAGGCAUGAGCUCAACUCAUGUAUGCGGUUGAAACUGGGUAUCUAGAGUGCUGGAGAGGUAGGCGGAAUUCCCGGUGUAGCGGGGAAAUGCGUAGAUAUCGGGAAGAACACCAGUGGCGAAGGCGGCUUACUGGCCAGCAACUGACGCUGAGGCGCGAAAGCCAGGGGAGCGAACGGGAUUAGAUACCCCGGUAGUCCUGGCCGUAAACGAUGAAUGCUAGGUGUGGGUGUCGAGAGGCAUCCGUGCCGGAGUUAACGCGAUAAGCAUUCCGCCUGGGGAGUACGAUCGCAAGAUUGAAACUCAAAGGAAUUGACGGGG